This 534-nucleotide ribosomal RNA is filed under the name Staphylococcus aureus. RNAcentral's name for it is "partial 23S ribosomal RNA". It matches the Rfam family "Bacterial large subunit ribosomal RNA", at positions 328 to 865 of the family's 2925-position model. Lineage: Bacteria; Bacillati; Bacillota; Bacilli; Caryophanales; Staphylococcaceae. The record is from RNAcentral.
AUUAGACGAAUCAUCUGGAAAGAUGAAUCAAAGAAGGUAAUAAUCCUGUAGUCGAAAAUGUUGUCUCUCUUGAGUGGAUCCUGAGUACGACGGAGCACGUGAAAUUCCGUCGGAAUCUGGGAGGACCAUCUCCUAAGGCUAAAUACUCUCUAGUGACCGAUAGUGAACCAGUACCGUGAGGGAAAGGUGAAAAGCACCCCGGAAGGGGAGUGAAAUAGAACCUGAAACCGUGUGCUUACAAGUAGUCAGAGCCCGUUAAUGGGUGAUGGCGUGCCUUUUGUAGAAUGAACCGGCGAGUUACGAUUUGAUGCAAGGUUAAGCAGUAAAUGUGGAGCCGUAGCGAAAGCGAGUCUGAAUAGGGCGUUUAGUAUUUGGUCGUAGACCCGAAACCAGGUGAUCUACCCUUGGUCAGGUUGAAGUUCAGGUAACACUGAAUGGAGGACCGAACCGACUUACGUUGAAAAGUGAGCGGAUGAACUGAGGGUAGCGGAGAAAUUCCAAUCGAACCUGGAGAUAGCUGGUUCUCUCCGAAAU